RNAcentral lists this long non-coding RNA (674 nucleotides) under Nicotiana benthamiana. RNAcentral describes it as "long non-coding RNA (NBEN_LNC022057)". The record is from RNAcentral. Lineage: Eukaryota; Viridiplantae; Streptophyta; Magnoliopsida; Solanales; Solanaceae.
GAACUUGUUGGCCGGCGCGCAAAGAGGGCACUGAAGCGUGAAGCUGCUGAUAAGGCAGCCGCUGAGAAGCACCAGCAGCGUUUGGUUAGGAUGGGUCGGAAGUGAAUUGUGCUCGCAACAACCCUAAAGAUCAUCACCUCAUGAAUCGCGCACACCUGUACAGUAUUUUACUUCUCAUCCCCUCUCGUGAGCCGAAGAAGAAGGAGGAUGCUGUUCCUAAAGAACUUGUUGGCCGGCGUGCAAAGAGGGCACUGAAGCGUGAAGCUGCUGAUAAGGCGGCCGCUGAGAAGCACCAGCAGCGUUUGGUUAGGAUGGGUCGGAAGUGAGUUGUGCUCCUAGACAACCCUAAAGAUCAUCACCUCAUGAAUUGCGCACCCCUGUACAGUAUUUUAGUUCUCUUGUUUGUAAAAUAAUUGACAUAGUCAAUAUUCUGGAUUUACUGGUGUAAUGGGAUGGACUAUGUUCAUGUCCCUGUUGUUAUUUCCACAUAUUUAUAAUCCUUGACAAAGGGGAAAGAAAACUCCUUGUUUUCCCCAAUAAAUGUACAUUGUUAGGUGAAUUUCAUAGUUGUCUUAGAUUCUUGACAUUUAGUAACCUUUUUCAAUUCUCUUAUCUGCUUCAGAUAGCAUUGGAUGGAAGAUUCAAAAGGACCUAUAAAUAUGUUCCAUUUGUUU